UACAGAGAGUGCAAACGUUGUUCGGAAUUACUGGGCUUAAAGCGCACGUAGGCGGCGCCGCAAGUGCGAGGUGAAAUCCCACGGCUUACCCGUGGAACUGCCUUGCAGACUGCGGUGCUCGAGGAUGGUAGGGGAGAGCGGAACUCCUGGUGGAGCGGUGAAAUGCGUAGAUAUCAGGAGGAACACCGGUGGCGAAGGCGGCUCUCUGGUCCAUUACUGACGCUGAGGUGCGAAAGCUAGGGGAGCAAACGGG
RNAcentral lists this ribosomal RNA (253 nucleotides) under uncultured bacterium. Its description in RNAcentral is "partial 16S ribosomal RNA". It matches the Rfam family "Bacterial small subunit ribosomal RNA", at positions 524 to 776 of the family's 1533-position model. The record is from RNAcentral.